GUGAAUCAUCGAAUUUUUGAACGCAUAUUGCACUCUCUGGUAUUCCGGAGAGUAUGCCUGUUUGAGGGUAAUUAAAAAGAAUCUUUAACCAAUUUUUUUUGGUCAAAUGAAAUUAGCUCUCCUCGUUUAUAGCGUUAACGUGAAAUAAAUUGUCAAUUCUCAUUUUAGUCGAGACGCGUAAUAAUAUUCUUUCUCGAAAUCUGCAUUAUGUGACUAUCAAGUUUUUAUGCAUACUAGUUUUCUUUUUAUGCGAUCAAUACAAAUAUUUUUAACAUUACCUCAAAUCAGGUAGGAGUACCUU
Molecule: unclassified non-coding RNA, 301 nt
Filed under: Ambisporaceae sp.
Lineage: Eukaryota; Fungi; Glomeromycota; Glomeromycetes; Archaeosporales; Ambisporaceae
Description: partial contains 5.8S ribosomal RNA and internal transcribed spacer 2
Rfam family: 5.8S ribosomal RNA (bases 1-71)
Source: RNAcentral